RNAcentral lists this long non-coding RNA (1165 nucleotides) under Pan troglodytes (chimpanzee). RNAcentral describes it as "long non-coding RNA NONPTRT015259". Lineage: Eukaryota; Metazoa; Chordata; Mammalia; Primates; Hominidae. The record is from RNAcentral.
CGGGGCUGCGGCGGCUAGGAGAGUGAUCCCCUGAAAGAUUUUGGAGAAUUUCCUGAUUGGCACUUUGAAAACUGCUGCUGUAACCAAUUCUGUGAUGACUGCUGACUUGAUGUGUGCUUAAGACACAGACAUCUACAGAAGGAAGACCAUGUGAAAAUACAGGGAGAAGAAAGCUAUCUGUAAGCCAAGAAGUGAGUAAGGCCUCAGAAGAAAGCAAAGCCUGCCAACACCUGGAUCUUGGAUUCUGGCCUCCAGAAUCAUAAGAAAAUACGUUUCUGUUGUUUAAGCUACUUGGUCUGUGGUACUUGGUUACAGUAGCCCUAGCAAACUCAUAUGAUUCUUUGAUGAGGGGAAAGAACUGUUGAAAGCAUUUAGUUAUAAAUAAUGAAUCAGGAAACAAAGGGCCAAUAAUGACAUAAUGAACUCCUUAAGCUGGGGUUUCCAAGGAUUGACAGUGUGAGUCUCCAUACACCAUACUCUCUAGAGUGCUGGGGGAAAGAAAACCUCCUCCAGUCAUUUUUCUCAGAGUGUCUGAGUUCAAAGAGAAUUCUCUGCUGCAGUGGUCUGUGUGGCUUCCUAAACAGGGACAUGGCCCUGGGCUGCAUGCCCAGAACAAUACAAGAUUGGCUGCCUGUCAUUACAAGAAACAUUUAUUGACUGCUUAUUAUAUGCCAGCUACAGUCUACUUACUUUACAUGAACUUACGGAUUUAUUCUUCAUGAUAAUCUUAACAAGUAGCCACUGCUAUUCUCCAUUUUGCAGAUGAAAUACUGAGGCUCAGAGACUUUGCCCAAGGUAACACAGCUGGCAAGUGGCAGCACUGGGAUUUAAACUCAGCCAGGCUUACUCCACAGAUUUUUUUCUUAUCUUCCAUGGUAGACUGUACAGUCCAAGCCAGGGAAAAGGCCUAGAUUGAGAGAGCAAAGUACAGCAGCAGCUAUAGUGUGGCUUUCUUGGGCUUAGGAGAGAAACAUCUUUAUGUUCAAGGUUUUACAAAGAAUUCUUCUGAAGACUUUGAGUCUACUUUCUGACCUGGCACUUCAAUUCAGCUCAGCACACAUUAAUCGAGUGCCUCUUAUGAUCUAGGAAUCCAUGCAAGGCACGAAGCACAGAAAGACAGGCAAGGAAUUUCAUCUGUAGACCCUGUUGACUCAUGGCUCUAAAC